UAGGGAAUCUUCGGCAAUGGGGGGAACCCUGACCGAGCAACGCCGCGUGAGUGAAGAAGGUUUUCGGAUCGUAAAGCUCUGUUGUUAAGGAAGAACGAGUGUGAGAAUGGAAAGUUCAUACUGUGACGGUACUUAACCAGAAAGGGACGGCUAACUACGUGCCAGCAGCCGCGGUAAUACGUAGGUCCCGAGCGUUGUCCGGAUUUAUUGGGCGUAAAGCGAGCGCAGGCGGUUAGAUAAGUCUGAAGUUAAAGGCAGUGGCUCAACCAUUGUAGGCUUUGGAAACUGUUUAACUUGAGUGCAGAAGGGGAGAGUGAAUUCCAUGUGUAGCGGUGAAAUGCGUAGAUAUUAGGAGGAAUACCGGUGGCGAAGGCGACUUUCUGGCCAUAAUCUGACGCUGAGGUACGAAAGCGUGGGUAGCAAACAGG
Molecule: ribosomal RNA, 428 nt
Filed under: Bacteroidota bacterium
Lineage: Bacteria; Pseudomonadati; Bacteroidota
Description: Bacteroidetes bacterium partial 16S ribosomal RNA
Rfam family: Bacterial small subunit ribosomal RNA
Source: RNAcentral